This 443-nucleotide ribosomal RNA is filed under the name uncultured bacterium. Its description in RNAcentral is "partial 16S ribosomal RNA". It matches the Rfam family "Bacterial small subunit ribosomal RNA", at positions 338 to 795 of the family's 1533-position model. The record is from RNAcentral.
CCUACGGGAGGCAGCAGUGGGGAAUAUUGGGCAAUGGGCGCAAGCCUGACCCAGCAACGCCGCGUGAAGGAAGAAGGCUUUCGGGUUGUAAACUUCUUUUCUCAGGGACGAAGCAAGUGACGGUACCUGAGGAAUAAGCCACGGCUAACUACGUGCCAGCAGUCGCGGUAAUACGUAGGUGGCAAGGGUUAUCCGGAUUUACUGGGUGUAAAGGGCGAGUAGGCGGGAAAGCAAGUCAGAUGUGAAAACCAUGGGCUCAACCUGUGGCCUGCAUUUGAAACUGUUUUUCUUGAGUACUGGAGAGGCAGACGGAAUUCCUAGUGUAGCGGUGAAAUGCGUAGAUAUUAGGAGGAACACCAGUGGCGAAGGCGGUCUGCUGGACAGCAACUGACGCUGAGGCGCGAAAGCGUGGGGAGCAAACAGGAUUAGAUACCCGUGUAGUC